GAAGGUAUAGCUCAGGGGUAGAGUGUGUGCUUAGAAUGUACAAGGUCCUAGGUUCAAUCCCCAGUACCUCUA
RNAcentral lists this transfer RNA (72 nucleotides) under Camelus bactrianus (Bactrian camel). It matches the Rfam family "tRNA". From Rfam's summary of the family: Transfer RNA (tRNA) molecules are approximately 80 nucleotides in length. Their secondary structure includes four short double-helical elements and three loops (D, anti-codon, and T loops). Lineage: Eukaryota; Metazoa; Chordata; Mammalia; Artiodactyla; Camelidae. The record is from Rfam by way of RNAcentral. RNAcentral also lists the same sequence under 2 other names.